AAAGAAAUAAAAAAAAAGCUUCUAACUUUUACAAAAGCAAUAUAAUUGUUUAU
This 53-nucleotide transfer RNA is filed under the name Lopheros sp. UPOL 000577. Its description in RNAcentral is "partial tRNA-Ser". The record is from RNAcentral. Lineage: Eukaryota; Metazoa; Arthropoda; Insecta; Coleoptera; Lycidae.